Molecule: long non-coding RNA, 271 nt
Filed under: Erythranthe guttata (spotted monkey flower)
Lineage: Eukaryota; Viridiplantae; Streptophyta; Magnoliopsida; Lamiales; Phrymaceae
Description: long non-coding RNA (EGUT_LNC003876)
Source: RNAcentral
UUUGAAACCUUCGUAAAGAAAACUUCUCCCCAUUUAAUACUUGCUGGAAAACAGAUUCAAACUUUAGAAAUGAGAGAUUUUUCGGAAAUUGCAGUUUUGACCCCAAAGUUUCAAGAUUUACACAUGCAACCACACUAGAAGUUCAAAAUCCACUUUUUCAUGAAAAACCCCUAACAAUCUGGAAUUUUACUUUAAUAAAUGCAGAAAACAAAUUUAAAAAGUUACUUUAUGCAGAAAUUUCGAAAAUUACAUAUUUCACCCCAAAAUCUCU